Molecule: ribosomal RNA, 325 nt
Filed under: uncultured eukaryote
Lineage: Eukaryota
Description: partial 18S ribosomal RNA
Rfam family: Eukaryotic small subunit ribosomal RNA
Source: RNAcentral
CCCUUAGAUGUCCGGGGCCGCACGCGCGCUACACUGAUGCAUUCAACGAGCCUAUCCUUGACCGACAGGUCCGGGUAAUCUUUGAAUCUGCAUCGUGACGGGGAUAGAUUAUUGCAAUUAUUAAUCUUCAACGAGGAAUGCCUAGUAGGCGCAAGUCAUCAGCUUGCGUCGAUUACGUCCCUGCCCUUUGUACACACCGCCCGUCGCUCCUACCGAUUGGGUGUGCUGGUGAAAUGUUCGGAUCGGCCGUUUGUCGCGGUUUCCGCGUCAUGUGGCUGAGAAGUUCAUUAAACCCUCCCACCGAGAGGAAGGAGAAGUCGUAACA